UACGUAGGGGGCAAGCGUUGUCCGGAAUUAUUGGGCGUAAAGAGCUCGUAGGCGGUCUGUCGCGUCGGCUGUGAAAACCCAGGGCUCAACCCUGGGCCUGCAGUCGAUACGGGCAGACUAGAGUCCGGCAGGGGAGACUGGAAUUCCUGGUGUAGCGGUGAAAUGCGCAGAUAUCAGGAGGAACACCGGUGGCGAAGGCGGGUCUCUGGGCCGGAACUGACGCUGAGGAGCGAAAGCGUGGGGAGCGAACAGG
RNAcentral lists this ribosomal RNA (253 nucleotides) under uncultured bacterium. Its description in RNAcentral is "partial 16S ribosomal RNA". It matches the Rfam family "Bacterial small subunit ribosomal RNA", at positions 524 to 776 of the family's 1533-position model. The record is from RNAcentral.